AUCUAGCUGACGAGUCCCAAAUAGGACGAAACGCGCGUGCUGAAU
Schistosoma rodhaini is the source of this 45-nucleotide non-coding RNA. The record is from Rfam. NCBI's taxonomy places the organism in Eukaryota, Metazoa, Platyhelminthes, Trematoda, Strigeidida, Schistosomatidae.